ACAGUAAAUAAAUUGUUUUUUGUAUCUUCAUUUAGGCAAAGAAGAGAUAAAAGCAGAUGGUCUGACAUCUUCCACAGAGGUGAAGUAGGUCAGGCUGGGGUCACAUAGUUUGAAGGAACCUCCUCCUUUUUUCACCUGUGCCAGAUGUCCUGCUCAUCCACUGUGGGAAAGAAAUGACCUUACACCAGCAGCUCUCCCAGAUGAAGAGUCCUCUCUGCCAUCACCCAGAGGAGCUGAUUGACGUCUGCACAACUGAAGAAGGUGGACAGAGUCUGGUGCUUUGUGACAGUGAACAGUGAGAAGGCUACCAUAGUCAUCCUCAGAGAAAACACAGAGAUCCUGGUCAAUAUUCAAUGGUGCUAUUUUUCUUUCCAUGAUGUUGCCCUGUGUUUGAAAGGCCAGAUGCUGGAGGGUUGUGUUGGAUUUGCUCUUCCAUCAUAUUUUAACAGUCAAACAAUCAUCCAGGAUCGCUAUACUUUAUUUGAUUUUUGUUUGGAUUUCUUUGUUAAAUUAUUUUUUAUACUUUCUCCUAUGUCCCAGCAAUUCGACCUGAUGGUCUCCCUUACUUAUUUUCCACAUGGUUAAUGAAGCCAGGGGUUGUUUAUUGAAGAUUAUUUUUCAUAAAAUGUUUAAAUAAAAAUUUAAAAAAUCUGA
Labrus mixtus (cuckoo wrasse) is the source of this 654-nucleotide long non-coding RNA. RefSeq lists it as uncharacterized. Lineage: Eukaryota; Metazoa; Chordata; Actinopteri; Labriformes; Labridae. The transcript has 3 exons. The record is from RefSeq and is a predicted model, not a curated record.